AAACAACAACACAGAGGUUUGAAAGCUAAAUUCAGAGAAAAUCGAGAAAUUUUUCAAGCUCAUUAAAAAUAAUAUAAUACACGUAUGUAGUUUUUAUGUAUUAAGAACUUUAUGCUUUAAUGUAUUUUGUUGUGUAGGUUUUUGUUGCGCUUUGUUUCAUGGGGAUGGUUUUUAAUCAAUGUCGCCAUCUGGUGGUGGGACUUUGGUAAUAACAGACAGUUAAAUAAAUAUAUUCAGAAAAAAAUAAUGCGAUUAUUUUUUUUGUAAAUGUAGUUUAUUGCAGAAAACUACAAAACAAAAUCAACUUGAACUCUGAGUUAAUUUACCCUGAGAUGGGAAACUGAGUUUUCGGUUACAGAACAGCUGAAAUUAGUUAGUUUUAUCAACCCUAAAUUGACUGAGUUAAGCGCGUGCACUACAACUAUAAAAAGCCAUUAUCAAUGGAGCGCAGAUAUAACGAGUCACCAUGGCAACAGCGUCUGACAAAAAGAGGUCUGCAUAUUUCUCACCAGAAGAACUGUUUAUAAAACUGCAGAAAUGCCCAAAAGAAAGAAGGCAGAGGCUCGCAAAACAGGAGAAGGACCUGCACCACCACCUCUGACAAAUGCAGAGGAAAUGGCCCUGAGCCUGAAUGCUACAGUAGAAGGACAAUGGCUGAGGGAAUUCCUGGAGGACUUCAUCAGAACCAGUCACUCCAUAAGAUUUAAGUGCCUCCAUAAAAUAUUGGUAUGAUAAUAUCUGUCUCUUGGUGCCUCCUGUCCCAACAGAACCCCAGGCAGUUGAUGAUGGGGAUGAUGAAGAAACCGUUUCUACUGCCGGAGGAAGGUCCAUCAACUUCUGGUGCACAGAUGAACACAUUGCCAGUUAAAGAGUUAUAUAGACUUCUUCUUAUUAAAAAGACUUGGACCGCCAGAUCCAAAAGGCAGAUCUGGAAAUCGAGAAUCUGAAACAAAAGCUAAAGGUGAGUGUAGUAUGGUCACAGGUGAAUUCUAGGAAGUAUUGAAACUAUAUUAAAAUCUAACUUUUUUUUGGAAAUAAAGA
Long non-coding RNA from Tachysurus fulvidraco (yellow catfish), 1041 nucleotides. RefSeq lists it as uncharacterized. The record is from RefSeq and is a predicted model, not a curated record. The transcript is spliced from 5 exons. Lineage: Eukaryota; Metazoa; Chordata; Actinopteri; Siluriformes; Bagridae.